AACGUUCUAGUUGGCCAGGCCUGAUUCUUUUCCCCACAAACCUGCCAUGUGGUGGUAAGGGAAGUUCUGCGAAGACGUUCAGGAUCCUGGGCCUGGAGAAGAGGCAUGAAUGUCCACCACAGGGGCUCUGCCGGUCAGGAUCAAGGUCACACUGGAUGAGGGAGUCCUGACCCUCUCCCGGGCUGAGCCCACCUGUGCUGCCCCCAGGACCCCAAGUACCAGGGUCUGCGGGCACGUGGCCGGGAGAUCCGGAAGGAGCUUGUUCACCUGUACCCCAGGGAGGCCCAGCUUGAGGAGCAGUUCUACCUGCAGGCGCUGAAGCUGCCCAACCAGACCCACCCAGACGUGCCCGUCGGGGAUGAGAGCCAGGCUCGAGUGCUCCACAUGGUCGGAGACAAGCCAGUUUUCUCCUUCCAACCUCGGGGCCACCUGGAAAUUGGCGAGAAACUCGACAUCAUCCGUCAGAAGCGCCUGUCCCACGUGUCUGGCCACCGGUCCUAUUACCUGCGCGGGGCUGGAGCCCUCCUGCAGCACGG
RNAcentral lists this long non-coding RNA (536 nucleotides) under Homo sapiens (human). RNAcentral's name for it is "non-protein coding lnc-CCER2-4:2". Lineage: Eukaryota; Metazoa; Chordata; Mammalia; Primates; Hominidae. The record is from RNAcentral.